RNAcentral lists this unclassified non-coding RNA (253 nucleotides) under uncultured Bacteroidota bacterium. RNAcentral's name for it is "uncultured Bacteroidetes bacterium contains 16S-23S intergenic spacer region". It matches the Rfam family "Bacterial small subunit ribosomal RNA", at positions 524 to 776 of the family's 1533-position model. Lineage: Bacteria; Pseudomonadati; Bacteroidota. The record is from RNAcentral.
UACGGAGGAUGCAAGCGUUAUCCGGAUUUAUUGGGUUUAAAGGGUGCGUAGGCGGGAUAGUAAGUCAGUGGUGAAAUCUUGCAGCUCAACUGUAAAAUUACCAUUGAUACUGCUGUUCUUGAGUAUAGUUGAGGUAGGCGGAAUGUGCCGUGUAGCGGUGAAAUGCUUAGAUAUGACACAGAACUCCGAUAGCGAAGGCAGCUUACCAAACUGAAACUGACGCUGAGGUACGAAAGCGUGGGGAGCGAACAGG